UGCCUCAGUAACGGCGAGUGAAGCGGCAACAGCUCAAAUUUGAAAUCUGGCCCCCCGGCCCGAGUUGUAAUUUGCAGAGGAUGCUUUUGGCGAGGCACCUACCGAGUCCCCUGGAAUGGGGCGCCACAGAGGGUGAGAGCCCCGUAUGGUAGGACGCCGAGCCUCUGUAAAGCUCCUUCGACGAGUCGAGUAGUUUGGGAAUGCUGCUCUAAAUGGGAGGUAAAUUUCUUCUAAAGCUAAAUACCGGCCAGUGACCGAUAGCGCACAAGUAGAGUGAUCGAAAGAUGAAAAGCACUUUGAAAAGAGGGUUAAAAAGUACGUGAAAUUGUUGAAAGGGAAGCGCUUGUGACCAGACUUGCGCCCGGCGGAUCAUCCAGCGUUCUCGCUGGUGCACUCCGCCGGGCUCAGGCCAGCAUCGGUCCCCGCCGGGGGACAAAGGCUUCGGGAACGUAGCUCCUCUCGGGGAGUGUUAUAGCCCGUCGCGUAAUACCCCGGCGGGGACCGACGACCGCGCUUCGGCAAGGAUGCUGGCGUAAUGGUCAUCAGCGACCCGUCUUGAAACACGGACCGAGGAGUCAAGCAUUAGUGCGAGUGUUUGGGUGUAAAACCCGCACGCGUAAUGAAAGUGAACGUAGGUGAGAGCUUCGGCGCAUCAUCGACCGAUCCUGAUGUUUUCGGAUGGAUUUGAGUAGGAGCAUUAACGCUUGGACCCGAAAGAUGGUGAACUAUACUUGAAUAGGGUGAAGCCA
RNAcentral lists this ribosomal RNA (749 nucleotides) under Bambusicularia brunnea. Its description in RNAcentral is "eukaryotic LSU rRNA". It matches the Rfam family "Eukaryotic large subunit ribosomal RNA", at positions 76 to 854 of the family's 3401-position model. The record is from RNAcentral. Lineage: Eukaryota; Fungi; Ascomycota; Sordariomycetes; Magnaporthales; Pyriculariaceae.